GGAAAUUGGCGCAUUUGUGUGCGGAUUUUGUGUAUAUCAGCAUCUUAAACUAAUAUUCACUAAAGAAGCUUGUGUUCCAAAUUUGAAGCCUCUAGGUUAAUUUUUACUAUAUAUGGCCAACUUUUUCGUGAUUUCUCCCACUUUGGAUUAUAUGAAAAGUAGUUCCGAUA
Long non-coding RNA from Rhagoletis zephyria (snowberry fruit fly), 170 nucleotides. RefSeq lists it as uncharacterized. Lineage: Eukaryota; Metazoa; Arthropoda; Insecta; Diptera; Tephritidae. The record is from RefSeq and is a predicted model, not a curated record.